Molecule: ribosomal RNA, 490 nt
Filed under: uncultured bacterium
Lineage: Bacteria
Description: partial 16S ribosomal RNA
Rfam family: Bacterial small subunit ribosomal RNA
Source: RNAcentral
AUUGAACGCUGGCGGCAGGCCUAACACAUGCAAGUCGAACGGUAACAGGGAUCAGCUUGCUGAUUCGCUGACGAGUGGCGGACGGGUGAGUAAUGUCUGGGAAACUGCCUGAUGGAGGGGGAUAACUACUGGAAACGGUAGCUAAUACCGCAUACCGUCGCAAGACAAAAGAGGGGGACCUUCGGGCCUCUUGCCAUCGGAUGGGCCCAGAUGGGAUUAGCUAGUAGGUGGGGUAACGGCUCACCUAGGCGACGAUCCCUAGCUGGUCUGAGAGGAUGACCAGCCACACUGGAACUGAGACACGGUCCAGACUCCUACGGGAGGCAGCAGUGGGGAAUAUUGCACAAUGGGCGCAAGCCUGAUGCAGCCAUGCCGCGUGUAUGAAGAAGGCCUUCGGGUUGUAAAGUACUUUCAGCGGGGAGGAAGGGAGUAAAGUUAAUACCUUUGCUCAUUGACGUUACCCGCAGAAGAAGCACCGGCUAACUCCGUG